CGGAGAAAUUCCAAUCGAACUUGGAGAUAGCUGGUUCUCUCCGAAAUAGCUUUAGGGCUAGCCUCAAGUGAUGAUUAUUGGAGGUAGAGCACUGUUUGGACGAGGGGCCCCUCUCGGGUUACCGAAUUCAGACAAACUCCGAAUGCCAAAUAAUUUAACUUGGGAGUCAGAAUGUGGGUGAUAAGGUCCAUAUUCGAAAGGGAAACAGCCCAGACCACCAGCUAAGGUCCCAAAAUAUAUGUUAAGUGGAAAAGGAUGUGGCGUUGCCCAGACAACUAGGAUGUUGGCUUAGAAGCAGCCAUCAUUUAAAGAGUGCGUAAUAGCUCACUAGUCGAGUGACACUGCGCCGAAAAUGUACCGGGGCUAAACAUAUUACCGAAGCUGUGGAUUGUCCUUUGGACAAUGGUAGGAGAGCGUUCUAAGGGCGUUGAAGCAUGAUCGCAAGGACAUGUGGAGCGCUUAGAAGUGAGAAUGCCGGUGUGAGUAGCGAAAGACGGGUGAGAAUCCCGUCCACCGAUUGACUAAGGUUUCCAGAGGAAGGCUCGUCCGCUCUGGGUUAGUCGGGUCCUAAGCUGAGGCCGACAGGCGUAGGCGAUGGAUAACAGGUUGAUAUUCCUGUACCACCAUUAUUCGUUUUAAGCGAUGGGGGGACGCAGUAGGAUAGGCGAAGCGUGCUGUUGGAGUGCACGUCCAAGCAGUGAGAUUGAGUGUUAGGCAAAUCCGGCACUCUUAAGAUUGAGCUGUGAUGGGGAGAGGAACUUGUUCCUCGAGUCGUUGAUUUCACACUGCCGAGAAAAGCCUCUAGCUAGAAUAACGGUGCCCGUACCGCAAACCGACACAGGUAGUCAAGAUGAGAAUUCUAAGGUGAGCGAGCGAACUCUCGUUAAGGAACUCGGCAAAAUGACCCCGUAACUUCGGGAGAAGGGGUGCUCUUUGAGGUUCACGCUUCGAAGAGCCGCAGUGAAUAGGCCCAAGCGACUGUUUAUCAAAAACACAGGUCUCUGCUAAACCGUAAGGUGACGUAUAGGGGCUGACGCCUGCCCGGUGCUGGAAGGUUAAGAGGAGUGGUUAGCGCAAGCGAAGCUACGAAUCGAAGCCCCAGUAAACGGCGGCCGUAACUAUAACGGUCCUAAGGUAGCGAAAUUCCUUGUCGGGUAAGUUCCGACCCGCACGAAAGGCGUAACGAUUUGGGCACUGUCUCAACGAGAGACUCGGUGAAAUCAUAGUACCGGUGAAGAUGCCGGUUACCCGCGACAGGACGGAAAGACCCCGUGGAGCUUUACUGUAGCCUGAUAUUGAAAUUCGGUACAGUUUGUACAGGAUAGGUAGGAGCCUUAGAAGCGUGAGCGCUAGCUUACGUGGAGGCAUUGGUGGGAUACUACCCUAAUUGUAUUGGAUUUCUAACCCGCAGCACUUAUCGUGCUGGGAGACAGUGUCAGGCGGGCAGUUUGACUGGGGCGGUCGCCUCCUAAAGAGUAACGGAGGCGCUCAAAGGUUCCCUCAGAAUGGUUGGAAAUCAUUCAUAGAGUGUAAAGGCAUAAGGGAGCUUGACUGCGAGACCUACAAGUCGAGCAGGGUCGAAAGACGGACUUAGUGAUCCGGUGGUUCCGCAUGGAAGGGCCAUCGCUCAACGGAUAAAAGCUACCCCGGGGAUAACAGGCUUAUCUCCCCCAAGAGUUCACAUCGACGGGGAGGUUUGGCACCUCGAUGUCGGCUCAUCGCAUCCUGGGGCUGUAGUCGGUCCCAAGGGUUGGGCUGUUCGCCCAUUAAAGCGGUACGCGAGCUGGGUUCAGAACGUCGUGAGACAGUUCGGUCCCUAUCCGUCGUGGGCGUAGGAAAUUUGAGAGGAGCUGUCCUUAGUACGAGAGGACCGGGAUGGACAUACCUCUGGUGUACCAGUU
RNAcentral lists this ribosomal RNA (1901 nucleotides) under Staphylococcus pseudintermedius. RNAcentral describes it as "partial 23S ribosomal RNA". It matches the Rfam family "Bacterial large subunit ribosomal RNA", at positions 819 to 2722 of the family's 2925-position model. Lineage: Bacteria; Bacillati; Bacillota; Bacilli; Caryophanales; Staphylococcaceae. The record is from RNAcentral.